UACAGACGGUCCAAACGUUAUUCGGAAUCACUGGGCUUAAAGAGUUCGUAGGCGGUCAGGAAAGUGGGGUGUGAAAGCCCUCGGCUUAACCGAGGAAUUGCGCUCCAAACUCCCUGACUUGAGGAGGCUAGAGGUAAGCGGAACUGAUGGUGGAGCGGUGAAAUGCGUUGAUAUCAUCAGGAACACCGGUGGCGAAGGCGGCAUCCUGGACCGGCAUUGACGCUGAGGCGCGAAAGCUAGGGGAGCAAACGGG
Molecule: ribosomal RNA, 253 nt
Filed under: uncultured bacterium
Lineage: Bacteria
Description: partial 16S ribosomal RNA
Rfam family: Bacterial small subunit ribosomal RNA
Source: RNAcentral